Molecule: long non-coding RNA, 957 nt
Organism: Phycodurus eques (leafy seadragon)
Lineage: Eukaryota; Metazoa; Chordata; Actinopteri; Syngnathiformes; Syngnathidae
Exons: 4
Source: RefSeq, a predicted model, not a curated record
GGCAUGUGUCGUCAAGCAAACGAGAGGCACAGUGCCUUUGAUGCCACAGUGGCUUUGAUUAUGAUAUUCUCUACUUCAACGGGCAAUGACAUCCAUUACCCACGAGACUGCACGAGUGAGCGACAAGAAAGGGCUGACGCUACGACAACGAACGCUGUGUAACGCCGGUUGCGUCGAGCGUUCAAAGACCCAAGAUCUCGACUUUCCAUACCCACUGUAUGCUGAUCUCUCAUCCACACGGGGGCACUGCUGCCACCUACAGGGCGAGGCCAGAUUUGAACCCGGGUCCUAAGAACUGUGAGGCGGAUGUGUUAACCAGUCAGUCACCGUGCCACCCUAUGACCAAACAUCUGACUCCAGCUAGAUGAGCUACGCCGCAAGCCUAUGUAGCGACUACGCCUAUGGCCCGGAUGUCAACGGCAACCCCAAGAACUAAUAAACUUCUGCAUUCCUGCUUCCUGAACCUCAACCAGCCGGUUUGUUGCCACAAGACACAGGAAACCUGGUUUGUAUCAUCUGGAGCCAUAAAACUGAUGGCAAGUCACCUCAUGACUGGCACAGCAUGGUUUUGUGGGGGGGGGAGUGAUUGAUGACUGCUGUGGUGGUUAGAGACACUGCCUGUGGACAUCAAAAUGACAUUGAAGAAAUCCCACAUUUGUAAUAAACAAACCUUCAGCAAUAUUAUAAACGUACACCUUGAUGUCUGUGUCAUGAAUGUGUCAGUUUUACAGGUCCUCCUCCUCAACUUCAUGCUGAACAUUACAUAAGCUGCGGCUCUGCCAUGCUGCGCAACCCCUCCCCUUUUUGUUUUUCCUUUGUUGUCACCACGGCACGCGAGCGACCCCGGACCACGGCGCUGUCUGAUCAAAGAAGCCGGCUUUGCGGAUUCGAUCCGUUUUCCCAGCCUUGAUCAAAACUAAACCAAUAAAACGGUUCACAAUUUCACACACGGCAGAA